UACGUAGGGUGCAGGCGUUAAUCGGAAUUACUGGGCGUAAAGCGUGCGCAGGCGGCUUUGCAAGUCAGAUGUGAAAUCCCCGGGCUUAACCUGGGAACUGCAUUUGUGACUGCAGAGCUGGAGUGCGGCAGAGGGGGAUGGAAUUCCGCGUGUAGCAGUGAAAUGCGUAGAUAUGCGGAGGAACACCGAUGGCGAAGGCGGCGAUCUGGGUCGAUACUGACGCUGAGGUGCGAAAGCGUGGGGAGCAAACAGG
This 253-nucleotide ribosomal RNA is filed under the name uncultured bacterium. Its description in RNAcentral is "partial 16S ribosomal RNA". It matches the Rfam family "Bacterial small subunit ribosomal RNA", at positions 524 to 776 of the family's 1533-position model. The record is from RNAcentral.